This 1124-nucleotide ribosomal RNA is filed under the name Escherichia coli. RNAcentral describes it as "partial 23S ribosomal RNA". It matches the Rfam family "Bacterial large subunit ribosomal RNA", at positions 419 to 1546 of the family's 2925-position model. Lineage: Bacteria; Pseudomonadati; Pseudomonadota; Gammaproteobacteria; Enterobacterales; Enterobacteriaceae. The record is from RNAcentral.
GGGACACGUGGUAUCCUGUCUGAAUAUGGGGGGACCAUCCUCCAAGGCUAAAUACUCCUGACUGACCGAUAGUGAACCAGUACCGUGAGGGAAAGGCGAAAAGAACCCCGGCGAGGGGAGUGAAAAAGAACCUGAAACCGUGUACGUACAAGCAGUGGGAGCACGCUUAGGCGUGUGACUGCGUACCUUUUGUAUAAUGGGUCAGCGACUUAUAUUCUGUAGCAAGGUUAACCGAAUAGGGGAGCCGAAGGGAAACCGAGUCUUAACUGGGCGUUAAGUUGCAGGGUAUAGACCCGAAACCCGGUGAUCUAGCCAUGGGCAGGUUGAAGGUUGGGUAACACUAACUGGAGGACCGAACCGACUAAUGUUGAAAAAUUAGCGGAUGACUUGUGGCUGGGGGUGAAAGGCCAAUCAAACCGGGAGAUAGCUGGUUCUCCCCGAAAGCUAUUUAGGUAGCGCCUCGUGAAUUCAUCUCCGGGGGUAGAGCACUGUUUCGGCAAGGGGGUCAUCCCGACUUACCAACCCGAUGCAAACUGCGAAUACCGGAGAAUGUUAUCACGGGAGACACACGGCGGGUGCUAACGUCCGUCGUGAAGAGGGAAACAACCCAGACCGCCAGCUAAGGUCCCAAAGUCAUGGUUAAGUGGGAAACGAUGUGGGAAGGCCCAGACAGCCAGGAUGUUGGCUUAGAAGCAGCCAUCAUUUAAAGAAAGCGUAAUAGCUCACUGGUCGAGUCGGCCUGCGCGGAAGAUGUAACGGGGCUAAACCAUGCACCGAAGCUGCGGCAGCGACGCUUAUGCGUUGUUGGGUAGGGGAGCGUUCUGUAAGCCUGCGAAGGUGUGCUGUGAGGCAUGCUGGAGGUAUCAGAAGUGCGAAUGCUGACAUAAGUAACGAUAAAGCGGGUGAAAAGCCCGCUCGCCGGAAGACCAAGGGUUCCUGUCCAACGUUAAUCGGGGCAGGGUGAGUCGACCCCUAAGGCGAGGCCGAAAGGCGUAGUCGAUGGGAAACAGGUUAAUAUUCCUGUACUUGGUGUUACUGCGAAGGGGGGACGGAGAAGGCUAUGUUGGCCGGGCGACGGUUGUCCCGGUUUAAGCGUGUAGGCUGGUUUUCCAGGCAAAUCCGGA